This 70-nucleotide transfer RNA is filed under the name Bombus pascuorum. Its description in RNAcentral is "tRNA-Glu". The record is from RNAcentral. Lineage: Eukaryota; Metazoa; Arthropoda; Insecta; Hymenoptera; Apidae.
AUUUAUAUAGUUUAAAAAAACAUUAUAUUUUCAAUAUAAAAUUAUUUAUAUUUAAGUUUAAUUAUAAAUA